GAUGAACGCUAGCGAUAGGCUUAACACAUGCAAGUCGAGGGGCAGCAUGGUCUUAGCUUGCUAAGGCUGAUGGCGACCGGCGCACGGGUGCGUAACGCGUAUGCAACUUGCCUCACAGAGGGGGAUAACCCGUCGAAAGACGGACUAAUACCGCGUACACUCUAUGUUGGGCAUCCAAUGUAGAGGAAAUGAAAUUCGCUGUGAGAUAGGCAUGCGUCCCAUUAGCUAGUUGGUGAGGUAACGGCUCACCAAGGCGACGAUGGGUAGGGGAACUGAGAGGUUGAACCCCCACACUGGUACUGAGACACGGACCAGACUCCUACGGGAGGCAGCAGUGAGGAAUAUUGGUCGAUGGGCGAGAGCCUGAACCAGCCAAGUCGCGUGAAGGAUGACUGUCUUAUGGAUUGUAAACUUCUUUUAUACGGGAAUAACAAGAGUCACGUGUGGCUCCCUGCAUGUACCGUAUGAAUAAGCAUCGGCUAACUCCGUG
RNAcentral lists this ribosomal RNA (490 nucleotides) under uncultured bacterium. Its description in RNAcentral is "partial 16S ribosomal RNA". It matches the Rfam family "Bacterial small subunit ribosomal RNA", at positions 28 to 507 of the family's 1533-position model. The record is from RNAcentral.